CAGUCGCCGCGGUAAUACGUAGGGUGCAAGCGUUAAUCGGAAUUACUGGGCGUAAAGCGUGCGCAGGCGGUUCUAUAAGACAGAUGUGAAAUCCCCGGGCUCAACCUGGGAACUGCAUUUGUGACUGUAGAGCUGGAGUGCGGCAGAGGGGGAUGGAAUUCCGCGUGUAGCAGUGAAAUGCGUUGAGAUCGGAAAGAACACCAACGGCGAAAGCACUCUGCUGGGCCGACACUGACACUGAGAGACGAAAGCUAGGGGAGCAAAUGGGAUUAGAUACCCCGGUAGUCCCUGUCUCUUAUAC
Molecule: ribosomal RNA, 301 nt
Filed under: uncultured bacterium
Lineage: Bacteria
Description: partial 16S ribosomal RNA
Rfam family: Bacterial small subunit ribosomal RNA
Source: RNAcentral